This 1793-nucleotide ribosomal RNA is filed under the name Manis pentadactyla (Chinese pangolin). RNAcentral describes it as "SSU rRNA". It matches the Rfam family "Eukaryotic small subunit ribosomal RNA", at positions 193 to 1823 of the family's 1831-position model. The record is from RNAcentral. Lineage: Eukaryota; Metazoa; Chordata; Mammalia; Pholidota; Manidae.
UUUAGGGCGUGUUUUUGUAUUUUCAAACAUGAGGCCUGUGGAAGGCAGAGAGCAAGGAGGCGAUGGCGGCGACCAUGGUGGCCAAGUUCCUGGCCUGGUGGAGGUGCGCAACCUCAAGGCUGUUGGCACCGGUAGCGGAGAAGCUAGAGAGCCUAGAGAGGUGGGGCUGGAGGAGCAGCCCACACAAGCUGCUGUCAGGUCUCGGAGCCUCCCCUUGGCUCCAGCCAGAGGGUGGGCACUGGCGGCUUUAGUGACUCUAGAUAACCUCGGGCCGAUUGCAUGCCACCCGUGGCGGCGAUGACCCAUUCAAACAUCUGCCCUAUCAACUUUCGAUGGUAGUCACCGUGCCUACCAUGGUGACCACGGGUGAUGGGGAAUCAGGGUUCAAUUCCAGAGAGGGAGCCUGAGAAACGGCUACCACUUCCAAGGAAGGCAGCAGGUGUGCAAAUUACCCACUCCCAAAUUGGGGAGGCAGUGAUGAAAAAUAACAAUACAGGACUCUUUCAAGGCCCUGUAAUUGGAAUGAGUCCACUUUAAAUCCUUGAGCGAGGAUUGAUUGGAGGGCAAGUCUGGUGCCAGCAGCCACAGUAAUUUCAGCUCCAAUAGCAUAUAUUAAAGUUGCUGCAGUUAAAAAGCUCAUAGUUGGAUCUUGGGAGUGGGCGGGCAAUCCGCUGUGAGGCAAGCCACGGCCUGUCCCUGCCCCUUGCCUCUCGGCGCCCCCUCGAUGCUCUUAGGAGUGUCCCGUGGGGCCUGAAGCAUUUACUUUAAAAAAAUUAGAGUGUGCAAAGCAGGCCUGAGCUGCCUGGAUACCACAGCUAGGAAUAAUGGAAUAGGACGGUGGUUCUAUUUUGUUGUUUUUCGGAACCAAGGCCAUAAUUAAGACGGACGGCCAGGGGCAUUUAUAUUGCACCACUAGAGGUGAAAUUCUUGGACCGGUGCAAGACAGACCAGAGCGAAAGCAUUUGUCAAGAAUGUUUUCAUUAAUCAAGAACAAAAGUCGGAUGUUCGAAGACGAUCAGAUACCGUCAUUGUUGCAACCAUAAAUGAUGUCGACUAGCAAAGCGGUAGUGUUAUUCCCAUUACCCAUUGGGCAGCUUCUGGGAAACCAAAGUCUUUGGGUUCCGGGGGGAGUAUGGUUGCAAAGCUGAAACUUAAAGGAAUUAAUGGAAGGGCACCACCAGGAGUGGAGCCUGUGGCUUAAUUUGACUCAACACAGGAAACCUCAACCUGCCCGGACAGGAUUGACAGAUAGCUCUUUCUCGAUUCCAUGGGUGGUGGUGCAUGGCUGUUCUUAGUUGGUGGAGCGACUUGUCUGGUUAAUUCCUAUAAGGAAUGAGACUCUGGCAUGCUAACUAGUUACGUGAGCCCUGAGCGGUCAGCAUCCCCCAACCUCUUAGAGGGACAACUGGCAUUCAGCCACCCGAGAUUGAGCAGUAACAGAUCUGGGAUGCCCUUAGAUGUCCAGGGCUGCAUGCGUGCUACACUGACUGGCUCAGUGUGGGCCUUCCCUAUGCCGGCAGGCGCAGGUAACCUGGUGAACCCCAUUCAUGAUGGGGAUCGGGUUGCAAUUACUCCCCAUGAACGAGGAAUUCCAGGUAAGUGGGGUCAUAAGGUUGCGUUGAUUAAGUCCCUGCCCUUUGUACACACAGCCCAUUGCUACUAUCUAUUGGAUGGUUUAGUGAGGCCCUCGGGUCGGCCCACGGCUCUGGUGGAGUGCUGAGAAGAUUGUAGAACUUGACUAUCUAGAAGAAGUAAAAGUCAUAACAAGGUUUCCCUAGGUAAACCUCUGGAAG